Pelobates cultripes (western spadefoot toad) is the source of this 248-nucleotide non-coding RNA. The record is from the annotation of a GenBank genome assembly. Lineage: Eukaryota; Metazoa; Chordata; Amphibia; Anura; Pelobatidae.
GAAGAUCUAUUUGCGUCGCUCGUUUGUGGCUUUUUACAUAAGAUACAUACCUACCAUUUUUUUUUUCCCUGAGCAAAGAACACAUCUUUUUGCAAAUUGUCAAUGCAUGAAAAGUGCUGUCUUGAAGCAUUUAAAAUGAAAAUACCGCAGCAUGGAAUUCAUGUAUGCACCAAAGUUAUUUGGGAUUUCUCUUAAUUAAUCAACUGAUUUUAUUUCUGCAAACCAUUAAUGUGCCCAUCAGAGUGUCG